UACAGAGGGUGCGAGCGUUAAUCGGAAUUAUUGGGCGUAAAGGGCGCGUAGGUGGCCCUAUAAGUUAAGUGUGAAAUCCCAUGGCUUAACCAUGGAAUUGCACUUGAUACUGUAGGGCUAGAGUAUGGUAGAGGGAAGUGGAAUUUCCGGAGUAGCGGUGAAAUGCGUAGAUACCGGAAGGAACACCAGUGGCGAAGGCGGCUUCCUGGACCAAUACUGACACUGAGGCGCGAUAGCGUGGGGAGCAAACAGG
This 253-nucleotide ribosomal RNA is filed under the name uncultured bacterium. Its description in RNAcentral is "partial 16S ribosomal RNA". It matches the Rfam family "Bacterial small subunit ribosomal RNA", at positions 524 to 776 of the family's 1533-position model. The record is from RNAcentral.